UACAUGGGGUGCAACCGUUGCUCGGAAUUAUUGGGCGUAAAGCGCGCGUAGGCGGUUCUUAAGUCGGAUGUGAAAGCCCUCGGCUUAACUGAGGAAGUGCACCCGAAACUGAGUAGCUAGAGUACGAAAGAGGGUCGCGGAAUUCCCGGUGUAGAGGUGAAAUUCGUAGAUAUCGGGAGGAACACCGGUGGCGAAGGCGGCGACCUGGGUCGAGACUGACGCUGAGGCGCGAAAGCGUGGGGAGCAAACAGG
RNAcentral lists this ribosomal RNA (252 nucleotides) under uncultured bacterium. RNAcentral's name for it is "partial 16S ribosomal RNA". It matches the Rfam family "Bacterial small subunit ribosomal RNA", at positions 524 to 776 of the family's 1533-position model. The record is from RNAcentral.